Oncorhynchus keta (chum salmon) is the source of this 4215-nucleotide long non-coding RNA. RefSeq lists it as uncharacterized. Lineage: Eukaryota; Metazoa; Chordata; Actinopteri; Salmoniformes; Salmonidae. The record is from RefSeq and is a predicted model, not a curated record. The transcript is spliced from 4 exons.
UAUGAUUCGGUUAGACGGUACGAACGGAAGCCAUGUUUGUUGUUCUUCCUUCACCCUCUUUGUAGUUCGGGACGUUCAGGAUUUCCUUCUGUAUGUCUUUAACAGUAUCACAAUUUACAUCUUCUCUACCACCCCCCGAAUGCAGGGCGUAAUCGAUUACAUCUUCUUCUCCAAGACUCACAUGUCUGUAGCCGGGUUGCUCGGUCCCCUGGAGUCUCGGUGGUUAACGGACAACAACAUCACCGGCUGUCCCCACCCCCACAUCCCCUCUGACCACUUCCCUCUGCUCGCCCAGCUGGAUCUCCACCCGCCCCUCACCACCUCCACCUCCUCCUCCUCCUCCCUCAACGGCCUGCACCUGCCUGUCCACAGGUAGUGGUUGUCACGACCACUCACCCUCUGACCCCUUUGAACACCUAAUGCCCCGCCUCCUCUGCCCCCCCAAAAAAAAGGACUUUGUACAUUUUCUUAUCGUGUCCCUAAUCUCAGACCAUCCAAGGAACUCCGACACAGACAACCCAUUCCCCAAAGGAGUGAAGUAUUCUCCCCGUACUGCUCCUUUUUUUUACCUCCAUUUUGCACACAGAUUGUAUUUCUGUUAGUUUUGCUUGUUGUUUUUCUGUCCAUUUGAACGGCUUGAUACCAAAUCAUGUUUUGUGUUGUUUUCUGGUCAUAUGCUACUGCUGCUGCCCAUCUCCUUGGAAAGUCCAAGUGUCCGUCAGAAAUAGCACCCUAUUCCCUAUAUAGUGCACUACUUUUGACCAGGACCCAAUGCGAUAUAGGAAAUAGGUUUCCAUUUUGGAGGAAGCCCCAAGUUCAGGUCAUCCUGGUCUGGUGUCUGACCACCUGAUGUGUUUUUGCCUUGACCCGGUCUGGGUGGGCACGGUCUGGGUGGGCACGGUCUGGGUGGGCCCUGUCUGGGUGGGCCCGGUCUGGGUGGGCCCUGUCUGGUUGGGCCCUGUCUGGUUGGGCCCUGUCUGGUUGGGCCCUGUCUGGUUGGACCCUGUCUGGGUGGGCACGGUCUGGGUGGGCCCUGUCUGGGUGGGCACGGUCUGGGUGGGCCCUGUCUGGGUGGGCACGGUCUGGGUGGGCCCUGUCUGGGUGGGCCCUGUCUGGGUGGGCGCGGUCUGGUUGGACCCUGUCUGGGUGGGCACGGUCUGGGUGGGCCCUGUCUGGGUGGCCUGGCUGAGAGUUAGAAAAGCUUUUUGCCAUAAUCUAAUAACAGUACGAUGACAGCCGCCGUCUGGGUUUCUCUCUGGUUGAGAAAUCCACUCCUCAAGACACGUUAUGACAUCCAGAGUUCUACUGAAUUGCGUUUGAUGAUCAUGUUAAAGUUGCCAUCGUUUCAUCAUACACCCAAACAGGACUUCUUCUUCCUUCUCCAAAAUGACGGUGGUGAUUGGGACUUUUCACUACUGCUCUAUUUUGGAGUUAAGUACGGUAAGACAAGGUUUUUUAAAUAUUUUUUUAUUUUUAGCAAAAUGUGAAAUGUUGUCAUCUCUUAACAUGUGUCUAUGGAAGCCUAUAAGGGUCAAUCAGUGAACAGGAUCCCAGCAUUACUAUUGUAUCUCAAACACAGCUUCAGUAUUAACAUAAUUUGCUCUCAGCUUCUCAUUCUGCUAUGUACGUUGACACUAUGCAUUGAUUUUUCCCUCGUCUGUUUGAGUGGUGUGUGUGUGUGUGCUCCUGACCCAAUGAAAAUGAUCUGAUAUAAAAAAUAAAUAAUAAUAAAAAUAAUUGAUUGCACCUUAUUGAGGUAGGAACCAGCUACCUCUUCUGUUCAUCAGUUAGCCCCUUAUUGAGGUAGGAUCCAGGCCUACCUCUUCUGUUCAUCAGUUAGCCCCUUACUGAGGUAGGAUCCAGGGCUACCUCUUCUGUUCAUCAGUUAGCCCCUUAUUGAGGUAGGAACCAGGGCUACCUCUUCCGUUCAUCAGUUAGCCCCUUAUUGAGGUAGGAUACAUGACUACCUCUUCUGUUCAUCAGUUAGCCCCUUAUUGAGGUAGGAACCAGGGCUACCUCUUCUGUUCAUCAGUUAGCCCCUUAUUGAGGUAGGAACCAGGCCUACCUCUUCCGUUCAUCAGUUAGCCCCUUAUUGAGGUAGGAUACAUGACUACCUCUUCCGUUCAUCAGUUAGCCCCUUAUUGAGGUAGGAUCCAGGGCUACCUCUUCUGUUCAUCAGUUAGCCCCUUAUUGAGGUAGGAUUCAUGACUACCUCUUCUGUUCAUCAGUUAGCCCCUUAUUGAGGUAGGAUACAUGACUACCUCUUCUGUUCAUCAGUUAGCCCCUUAUUGAGGUAGGAUACAUGACUACCUCUUCUGUUCAUCAGUUAGCCCCUUAUUGAGGUAGGAUACAUGACUACCUCUUCCGUUCAUCAGUUAGCCCCUUAUUGAGGUAGGAUACAUGACUACCUCUUCUGUUCAUCAGUUAGCCCCUUAUUGAGGUAGGAUACAUGACUACCUCUUCUGUUCAUCAGUUAGCCCCUUACUGAGGUAGGAUACAUGACUACCUCUUCUGUUCAUCAGUUAGCCCCUUACUGAGGUAGGAUACAUGACUACCUCUUCUGUUCAUCAGUUAGCCCCUUAUUGAGGUAGGAUACAUGACUACCUCUUCCGUUCAUCAGUUAGCCCCUUAUUGAGGUAGGAUCCAGGGCUACCUCUUCUGUUCAUCAGUUAGCCCCUUAUUGAGGUAGGAUUCAUGACUACCUCUUCUGUUCAUCAGUUAGCCCCUUAUUGAGGUAGGAUACAUGACUACCUCUUCUGUUCAUCAGUUAGCCCCUUAUUGAGGUAGGAUACAUGACUACCUCUUCUGUUCAUCAGUUAGCCCCUUAUUGAGGUAGGAUACAUGACUACCUCUUCCGUUCAUCAGUUAGCCCCUUAUUGAGGUAGGAUACAUGACUACCUCUUCUGUUCAUCAGUUAGCCCCUUAUUGAGGUAGGAUACAUGACUACCUCUUCUGUUCAUCAGUUAGCCCCUUAUUGAGGUAGGAUACAUGACUACCUCUUCUGUUCAUCAGUUAGCCCCUUACUGAGGUAGGAUACAUGACUACCUCUUCUGUUCAUCAGUUAGCCCCUUACUGAGGUAGGAUACAUGACUACCUCUUCUGUUCAUCAGUUAGCCCCUUAUUGAGGUAGGAUACAUGACUACCUCUUCCGUUCAUCAGUUAGCCCCUUAUUGAGGUAGGAUCCAGGGCUACCUCUUCUGUUCAUCAGUUAGCCCCUUAUUGAGAUAGGAUCCAGGGCUACCUCUUCUGUUCAUCAGUUAGCCCCUUAUUGAGGUAGGAACCAGGGCUACCUCUUCUGUUCAUCAGUUAGCCCCUUAUUGAGGUAGGAUCCAGGGCUACCUCUUCUGUUCAUCAGUGUUAGCCCCUUACUGAGGUAGGAUACAUGACUACCUCUUCCGUUCAUCAGUUAGCCCCUUAUUGAGGUAGGAUACAUGACUACCUCUUCCGUUCAUCAGUUAGCCCCUUAUUGAGGUAGGAUACAUGACUACCUCUUCUGUUCAUCAGUUAGCCCCUUAUUGAGGUAGGAUCCAGGCCUACCUCUUCCGUUCAUCAGUUAGCCCCUUAUUGAGGUAGGAACCAGGGCUACCUCUUCUGUUCAUCAGUUAGCCCCUUAUUGAGGUAGGAUCCAGGGCUACCUCUUCUGUUCAUCAGUUAGCCCCUUAUUGAGGUAGGAUCCAGGGCUACCUCUUCUGUUCAUCAGUUAGCCCCUUAUUGAGGUAGGAUCCAGGCCUACCUCUUCCGUUCAUCAGUUAGCCCCUUAUUGAGGUAGGAACCAGGGCUACCUCUUCUGUUCAUCAGUUAGCCCCUUAUUGAGGUAGGAUCCAGGGCUACCUCUUCUGUUCAUCAGUGUUAGCCCCUUACUGAGGUAGGAUACAUGACUACCUCUUCCGUUCAUCAGUUAGCCCCUUAUUGAGGUAGGAUACAUGACUACCUCUUCCGUUCAUCAGUUAGCCCCUUAUUGAGGUAGGAUACAUGACUACCUCUUCCGUUCAUCAGUUAGCCCCUUAUUGAGGUAGGAUACAUGACUACCUCUUCUGUUCAUCAGUUAGCCCCUUAUUGAGGUAGGAUACAUGACUACCUCUUCUGUUCAUCAGUUAGCCCCUUAUUGAGGUCGGAUCCAGGGCUACCUCUUCUGUUCAUCAGUUAGCCCCUUAUUUAGGUAGGAUCCAGGGCUACCUCUUCUGUUCAUCAGUUAGCCCCUUAUUUAGGUAGGAU